Molecule: non-coding RNA, 167 nt
Organism: Pelobates cultripes (western spadefoot toad)
Lineage: Eukaryota; Metazoa; Chordata; Amphibia; Anura; Pelobatidae
Source: the annotation of a GenBank genome assembly
UUGACACAUUCCAGCCAAUCAGCAGCAGACCCUCCCUCCCAGACCCUCCCACCUCCUGGACAGCUCACUAAGAAUGCAGCUUCACAAUGAAUGUAAAAUGGAUGCUGUCCAGGAGGUGGGAGGGUCUGGGAGGGAGGGUCUGCUGCUGAUUGGCUGGAAUGUGUCUG